AACGAACGCUGGCGGCAGGCUUAACACAUGCAAGUCGAGCGGGGGAAGGUAGCUUGCUACCGGACCUAGCGGCGGACGGGUGAGUAAUGCUUAGGAGUCUGCCUAUUAGUGGGGGACAACAUCUCGAAAGGGAUGCUAAUACCGCAUACGUCCUACGGGAGAAAGCAGGGGAUCACUUGUGACCUUGCGCUAAUAGAUGAGCCUAAGUCGGAUUAGCUAGUUGGUGGGGUAAAGGCCUACCAAGGCGACGAUCUGUAGCGGGUCUGAGAGGAUGAUCCGCCACACUGGGACUGAGACACGGCCCAGACUCCUACGGGAGGCAGCAGUGGGGAAUAUUGGACAAUGGGGGGAACCCUGAUCCAGCCAUACCGCGUGUGUGAAGAAGGCCUUAUGGUUGUAAAGCACUUUAAGCGAGGAGGAGGCUCUUUUGGUUAAUACCCAAGAUGAGUGGACGUUACUCGCAGAAUAAGCACCGGCUAACUCUGUGCCAGCCGCCGCGGUAA
RNAcentral lists this ribosomal RNA (503 nucleotides) under uncultured bacterium. Its description in RNAcentral is "partial 16S ribosomal RNA". It matches the Rfam family "Bacterial small subunit ribosomal RNA", at positions 29 to 523 of the family's 1533-position model. The record is from RNAcentral.